RNAcentral lists this ribosomal RNA (253 nucleotides) under uncultured bacterium. Its description in RNAcentral is "partial 16S ribosomal RNA". It matches the Rfam family "Bacterial small subunit ribosomal RNA", at positions 524 to 776 of the family's 1533-position model. The record is from RNAcentral.
UACGUAGGGUGCAAGCGUUGUCCGGAAUUAUUGGGCGUAAAGAGCUCGUAGGCGGCCUGUUGCGUCCGCUGUGAAAGCCCGGGGCUUAACCCCGGGUCGGCAGUGGAUACGGGCAGGCUAGAGGUAGGUAGGGGAGAAUGGAAUUCCCGGUGUAGCGGUGAAAUGCGCAGAUAUCGGGAGGAACACCGGUGGCGAAGGCGGUUCUCUGGGCCUUACCUGACGCUCAUGUGCGAAAGCGUGGGGAGCAAACAGG